Arabidopsis lyrata subsp. lyrata is the source of this 703-nucleotide long non-coding RNA. RefSeq lists it as uncharacterized. The record is from RefSeq and is a predicted model, not a curated record. Lineage: Eukaryota; Viridiplantae; Streptophyta; Magnoliopsida; Brassicales; Brassicaceae. The transcript has 3 exons.
AUAAUUAUGGCUUGUUUUAGGAAAUAAUUGAGCAAGAUUUUACCAUUAAGCUCUUGACCAAUUUCAGAUUGAUUUUGCUUCCCCUGAUAUAUCUUUUAUUACGUCUGUGCUGUUGUAUAGAUUCGCGAUCUUGGUUUUAACAAGAAGAAAGAAUCGAUCACAAAGGUAAUACGUACCACCAUUCUCGCCAUAUCUAUACAAGGACGAGUACCAGGGGGAUCAAAAGCCACUAAAGAAAGUUAUAACCGAAACCGAAUGUGGCUGGGACAAAAUAAAAACUGAGCAUUUCCAAGGAUACCCCAUCAGUCAGAAUAAAUCGUGAAAUUCGAACUCACUCUCGACCUCAGGGAUUAAUAUACAGAUCGAUAGCCAGCCAACUCCUUUGGUCGCUAAUUUGAAUCAAUCGGAACUUGACACUUUUCUUGACAGAAACUCUUUCAGAGAUUGGGCUCGGGGAAUGGUUUUACCAAUGGCUUGGACAUGUUGUUUCUCUAUCAUUGUGCAUUCGGCUGCCAGGAAUCAGAGGAAUCCUUUUGGGAGUUGGGCAACAUCACCAUCAGGGGAGCGUAUCUUUCUCGGGGAGAGUCUUCUUGCAAGUGUACUACUUGCUUGGCAUGCAUCUCUGGCUGGUGACCAAGUAUUUUCCCUGUUCAAAACUCCGGUUCCUGAUGUUGGAACUUCAGAAUCUUCUGCUAGGUAAGAC